UUAAACUAAAUAAGAAUCAUCCAUAUAAUCCCGAUAAUAUGGUUCGGGAGUCUCUACGAGGAAACCGUAAAUUUUCUGUCUAUGGGUGAGCGAUGGUGUUUU
This 102-nucleotide non-coding RNA is filed under the name Clostridium sp. RNAcentral describes it as "Guanine sequence". It matches the Rfam family "Purine riboswitch aptamer". Rfam says of the family: Riboswitches are metabolite binding domains within certain messenger RNAs that serve as precision sensors for their corresponding targets. Allosteric rearrangement of mRNA structure is mediated by ligand binding, and this results in modulation of gene expression. RNAcentral also lists the same sequence under 1 other name. The record is from RNAcentral. Lineage: Bacteria; Bacillati; Bacillota; Clostridia; Eubacteriales; Clostridiaceae.